GGGGUUGUGGCUCAAUGGUAGAGCACUUGCCUAGCAAGUGUGAGGCCCUGGGUUCAAUUCUCAGCACCA
Molecule: transfer RNA, 69 nt
Filed under: Ictidomys tridecemlineatus (thirteen-lined ground squirrel)
Lineage: Eukaryota; Metazoa; Chordata; Mammalia; Rodentia; Sciuridae
Description: Spermophilus tridecemlineatus (thirteen-lined ground squirrel) tRNA
Rfam family: tRNA
About the family: Transfer RNA (tRNA) molecules are approximately 80 nucleotides in length. Their secondary structure includes four short double-helical elements and three loops (D, anti-codon, and T loops).
Source: Rfam by way of RNAcentral